RNAcentral lists this ribosomal RNA (433 nucleotides) under uncultured bacterium. Its description in RNAcentral is "partial 16S ribosomal RNA". It matches the Rfam family "Bacterial small subunit ribosomal RNA", at positions 29 to 507 of the family's 1533-position model. The record is from RNAcentral.
AACGAACGCUGGCGGCAUGCCUAACACAUGCAAGUCGAACGAGACCUUCGGGUCUAGUGGCGCACGGGUGCGUAACGCGUGGGAACCUGCCCUUAGGUUCGGAAUAACUCCCCGAAAGGGGUGCUAAUACCGGAUAAUGUCUUCGGACCAAAGAUUUAUCGCCUUUGGAUGGGCCCGCGUUGGAUUAGCUAGUUGGUAGGGUAAAAGCCUACCAAGGCGACGAUCCAUAGCUGGUCUGAGAGGAUGAUCAGCCACACUGGGACUGAGACACGGCCCAGACUGCUACGGGAGGCAGCAGUGGAGAAUAUUGGACAAUGGGCGAAAGCCUGAUCCAGCAAUGCCGCGUGAGUGAUGAAGGCCUUAGGGUUGUAAAGCUCUUUUACCCGAGAUGAUAAUGACAGUACCGGGAGAAUAAGCUCCGGCUAACUCCGUG